This 371-nucleotide ribosomal RNA is filed under the name uncultured organism. RNAcentral's name for it is "bacterial LSU rRNA". It matches the Rfam family "Bacterial large subunit ribosomal RNA", at positions 2099 to 2465 of the family's 2925-position model. The record is from RNAcentral.
CUUUACUGCAGGCUCGUAUUGGUCACGAGCACAGGAUGCGCAGGAUAGGUGGGAGGCUUUGAAGCCGGCGUUUAGGCGUCGGUGGAGCCAUUGGUGAGAUACCACCCUUCUUGAGUUUGUGGCCUAACCUCGAUUCCCGUGAACCCGGGCGAGGGACAGUGCGUGUUGGGCAGUUUGACUGGGGCGGUCUCCUCCGAAAAAGUAACGGAGGAGCGCAAAGGUUGGCUCAGCGCGGAUGGAAACCGCGUUUUAGAGUGUAAGAGCACAAGCCAGCUUUACUGCGAGUCCGACGGGACGAGCAGUCGGGAAACCGGGCUCUAGUGAUCCUGCGAUCGCGUGUGGAAGCGUCGUAGCUCAUCGGAUAAAAGGUA